This 426-nucleotide ribosomal RNA is filed under the name uncultured Pseudomonadota bacterium. Its description in RNAcentral is "bacterial SSU rRNA". It matches the Rfam family "Bacterial small subunit ribosomal RNA", at positions 356 to 774 of the family's 1533-position model. Lineage: Bacteria; Pseudomonadati; Pseudomonadota. The record is from RNAcentral.
GGGGAAUAUUGGACAAUGGGCGCAAGCCUGAUCCAGCCAUGCCGCGUGGGUGAAGAAGGCCUUCGGGUUGUAAAGCCCUUUUGUUGGGAAAGAAAAGCAGCCGGCCAAUACCCGGUUGUUCUGACGGUACCCAAAGAAUAAGCACCGGCUAACUUCGUGCCAGCAGCCGCGGUAAUACGAAGGGUGCAAGCGUUACUCGGAAUUACUGGGCGUAAAGCGUGCGUAGGUGGUGGUUUAAGUCCGUUGUGAAAGCCCUGGGCUCAACCUGGGAACUGCCUUUGAUACUGGAAGUCUUGAGUCCGAGAGAGGUGAGUGGAACUCCGAGUGUAGAGGUGAAAUUCGUAGAUAUUCGGAAGAACACCAGUGGCGAAGGCGGCUCACUGGCUCGGUACUGACGCUGAGGUGCGAAAGCGUGGGGAGCAAACA